GGAAGGGUGGCAGAGUGGUCGAUUGCUCCGGUCUUGAAAACCGGCGAUGGGAAACCAUCCGUGGGUUCGAAUCCCACCCCUUCCGCCA
This 88-nucleotide transfer RNA is filed under the name Tabrizicola sp. RNAcentral describes it as "tRNA-Ser". It matches the Rfam family "tRNA". Rfam says of the family: Transfer RNA (tRNA) molecules are approximately 80 nucleotides in length. Lineage: Bacteria; Pseudomonadati; Pseudomonadota; Alphaproteobacteria; Rhodobacterales; Paracoccaceae. The record is from RNAcentral.